CAGCAGCCACGGUAAUACGAAGGGGGCUAGCGUUGUUCGGAAUUACUGGGCGUAAAGGGCGCGUAGGCGGCCAUUCAAGUUAGAUGUGAAAGCCCUGGGCUCAACCUAGGAAUUGCAUUUGAUACUGUUUGGCUUGAGUUCGGGAGAGGUGAGUGGAAUUCCCAGUGUAGAGGUGAAAUUCGUAGAUAUUGGGAAGAACACCAGUGGCGAAGGCGGCUCACUGGACCGACACUGACGCUGAGGCGCGAAAGCGUGGGGAGCAAACAGGAUUAGAUACCCCUGUAGUCCCUGUCUCUUAUAA
This 301-nucleotide ribosomal RNA is filed under the name uncultured bacterium. Its description in RNAcentral is "partial 16S ribosomal RNA". It matches the Rfam family "Bacterial small subunit ribosomal RNA", at positions 509 to 809 of the family's 1533-position model. The record is from RNAcentral.